This 301-nucleotide long non-coding RNA is filed under the name Homo sapiens (human). RNAcentral's name for it is "non-protein coding lnc-CPM-4:3". The record is from RNAcentral. Lineage: Eukaryota; Metazoa; Chordata; Mammalia; Primates; Hominidae.
AUCUAACAUCCAAUUAAAAGAGGAGUCAUGGCUCAAUCCUCAAGAAAGAAACAUGAUUAUAUGGAGUCUUUGCCUUAUGUGGACACAGUAUGCAUUUUGGAAGGAAAAGUCAGUCUUCUGGGAAAGUGUGGAAAAUCCAAAUUGGACAGAACUCAUUGAAAAAGGCAAGAUUUCAGUCACUGGAGCUGUAUUUCUCAACUGCAUUUUGGAAACUUUUGCCAGCACAUUCUUAAGACAGGGAGCUCAGAAGGGAAUUUGAAUCAUGGAGAUGCUACUAAAGGAACAGUAUGGUGCCCCCUUA